GACGAACGCUGGCGGCGUGCUUAACACAUGCAAGUCGAACGGUGAAGCGAGUGCUUGCACUCGGGGAUCAGUGGCGAACGGGUGGGUAACACGUGAGUAACCUGCCCAUCACUCUGGGAUAAGCACUGGAAACGGUGUCUAAUACUGGGUACGUCCAACCCUUGCAUGGGGUGUUGGUGGAAAGAUUUAUCGGUGAUGGAUGGACUCGCGGCCUAUCAGCUUGUUGGCGGGGUAAUGGCCCACCAAGGCGACGACGGGUAGCCGGCCUGAGAGGGUGACCGGACACACUGGGACUGAGACACGGCCCAGACUCCUACGGGAGGCAGCAGUGGGGAAUAUUGCACAAUGGGCGAAAGCCUGAUGAAGCGACGCCGCGUGAGGGAUGACGGCCUUCGGGUUGUCAACCUCUUUCAGCAGGGAAGAAGCGAAAGUGACGGUACCUGCAGAAGAAGCACCGGCUAACUAGGUG
RNAcentral lists this ribosomal RNA (469 nucleotides) under uncultured bacterium. Its description in RNAcentral is "partial 16S ribosomal RNA". It matches the Rfam family "Bacterial small subunit ribosomal RNA", at positions 28 to 507 of the family's 1533-position model. The record is from RNAcentral.